CAGCAGUGGGAGGACUCAGACAAGCGCUUUCUCCUCCCCUCAUGUUCACUCCUCCCCUCCAACUGUCUCCGCACUUUCAGUCAUUGAUUGCGCCUCCAUUGGACUCGUCUCGCACGCUGCUUUCCUCCUGUGGCAGUUUUUACGAUGUUUGCGUGCAGAGCAGCCUGGCAGAGGUGUGGGCCUCUGGCGCGACAGUCCUUGUACCGCGCUCGGCUCAAUAGAGAUGUAGUUCCACGGAGGCUCAUGUCGUCAGUUCCUGGCGGCUCCGGUGAGAAUUUCCUUUAUGUCGUUCUCUGCGGUGGAGCCUUCGCCGGUGCCGUGGCAUAUGCUUACAGAACAGUUGCAACAGACCACGCACGUUUUGUUGAUCGUGUUUCUGAAAUUGAUGCUCGUCCCAAGUCUGACUGGAAACCCAAACCAUGGCCACCCAAGAGUGAGGAGAAUGGCAAUGAAGAAGCUAGUGCAGAGGAAGGAGAGGUGGCAGAAACUGUAGAGAGCACAGCCGAGGAGGAUGUUCCUGCUGAGGCAGCUGAGGUCUUGCUGGAAACAGACGAGGCCACCAGAGGGAAGGUGGGAACUCUUGAGACCGUUGUGGAAAAGGUUGCAGAGACUGCAGAGGUGGUUGCUGAGGUGGCGGGGGUUGUUCAUGAAACCGCAGAGGAGGUGGCAGCGGUGGCAGACGAAGUGCAGAAGGUAGCAGAGGAAGUAGAAGCAGCAGCAGAGGCUGUCGUAACUCCUGUUAUCCAAGCUGAAGAGCCGGCGUCAGAGAGCAACGGGUUGGUUAGCACACCAGCAGCAGAAACAGUAAAGCUGGCUGCUGCCUCCGUGAUCGAGGCUGUUCCUGUGGAGUCUGAAUCUGUGGAAGAUGUGUCAGUUGAAGCUCUACCAGAGAUGCCCACUGAGGUUCCUACAACAGAUCAUUUGGAAAAUGUACCAGUAACAGAGAUGACACCUGUUGCUCCAGUGAUGGAGGAGGAACCAGCUUCUCUAGUAGCAGAAGAAGUAGCAGAGGCACCAGAUGCCACUGUAAUAGAAGAGCCUCCUGUAGCAGAGCAAUUGUCCGUUCCUCCAGUGACGGAAGUAAUAUCAGUUUCCCCUGUUGUAGAUGAGCCUGUUGCCACAGUGGUAGAAGAGUCUCCAGUAGCAGAGGAGACACCAGUUGAUUCAGCAGCAGAAGUAUUUGUUGCUCCAGUGAAUGAAGCAGCACCAGUUUCCCCAGUGGUAGAAGUGGCUCCAGUUGUAAAGGAGACACCAGUUGAUUCUCCAGUAUCCUCAGAAGAAGCAUCUGAUGUCCCUGUGAUAGAAGAGGAAGUUUUAGUUGCCCCAGUGACAGAAGAGACAUCUAUUGCCCCAGCAGCAGAGGAGGUAUCAGUUGCCCCAGUGAUAGAAGAGAUGCCUGUUGCCCCUGUGCCAGAAGAGGCAGCCGUUUCCUUUGUAACUGAAGACGCACCUGUUGUAGCAACUGAAGAACUUGAGGAAACACUUGCAGCCAAAGUAGCAGAAGAGGAUAUUUCAGUGGUUGAGGAAGUGAAGGCAGAAGAGGUGAUUGCAGAAAGUGCAGUUGUGGAGGCUCCAGUAAGUAUAGUCGAGGAACAAGCAGCAAGUCCAGUUGUGGAAGUUACAGAAAGUGUUGUUGAAACAGAUGUUGCAAGCAUAGUGGUCACUGAGGAAGUUGCUCCAGCUGAAACGUCAAGUGCACCUUUGGAAGAGCCCAAACGACACUACAUACUGGUUGUCUUGGAGGGAGCUCCCAAAACAGAAAAGAAGCCAAUGGUGCUCGGUGUAUCACCCGUGACUGGCAAGAUCAUCCCAGCCCCUGAUGAUGGUGAAGAGCCAUCGGGACAGGUAACAGGGCAAGCACCAUAUGCUUAAAGUGCAGAUGUAUUAAUACCAACUAAAAAAGUUGGGAGCAGUCAGAUGUCAUGGGAUAGUAAACCGGUUCCCUGAUAAACAAUUAGUGAUGUGCCUUCCCCAUUUCCUUGAGCCCCUGGAUUUCAGUAAUCCUUACACUGGGCCCAAUAUGCAGUUUCCUUCCGACUCAGCUCAAAAUAAUACUCUAUUUCCACUGCUCUCCACUGGAGAGUGGUUACUUCAUGUGAACAUUCACUUCACUCUGAUGUGAGACAAAAGUUUCUUGAAAAUUAUAAUGUGCAUGAAAAGCUGUGACCUAUAUUUAUAGCCUUUUUAAAUGGAACUCCACUCUUUUUGACUCAACUGCACAUUGGAGCCUAUACUAUAGUGAACCCUACCUCAAACAUCACAUUAUAGGACAUGUCUUGGAAUUGGCAUGUCAAUAGUUGCAACCAGCAGGGCUACAAAUUUGCCACAAACACUGUCAUACCUGCAUGCUGGCCAUCAGUUUUCUGGUUCUCCUCUGUCUUCAAUCUAUUUUUCAUUUGCAUUAUUUAUGAAUUAGCACUAUUAUUAUUUUUUGUACCUCUCUACCUCAGCUUGAAAAGACAGUGUUCUCCUUUUUCUAGUAACCAGUAUUAUAGUAACCAGCUGGCAUUACCAAUGGGACAUGACUUGGUCAAAAAACAGCCGACAAACCGAUUACCUUUACCAAUAUAGUCAAUACAACAACAAUAAGCCAUGUUACAAGUCACAUUCCAGUAUUCAUUUCUAAAGCGAGUCUCUACAGUGUUAUCCAAAAGGCAGACCCCACUGCUAUACUCCUUUGCCUUUGUUUUGCUGUUCUCUCUUCUCUUGUGAUUAUACAAAUUGUUUCGCAAAAAUACAUAAAUAAAGUCCUUUGCUUGAUGUGGCAAAAACAAGGUUACGCUAACGUUACACUCUCACUGAUACUACAGUUUUGAUGCUCAUAUGAUUUGAGAUUUUAAACUGGUAGACGGGCAUAUGUGGAUCCACAAAGGAAAAAAUAAUAAUAAUAAUAAAAAAAGACCUAACAAUUUUGUCACUUAUUUCCUUCAUAUUUCAAAAGGGACCUUAUAAGUGUUAUAAGUAAGAUUGCAUCUACAUAAUGUGAAUGUGAGGGAAUAAUGGGAAGUAUGGUUCAGUAGAAAUGGUGUUUUCACGGGUUCUUUUCUGUUUUUGUUUUAAGGGUUAGGAAUUUAAUACACAUUCAUGUGCUCUUAUGAGGCUUCUCUUUCACUGUAGGCCCUUACUAGGGUUUUUUUAAACUGUGAAUGUAUGUCAAAGAAAAAUAAAGAGUUAAAAC
This 3178-nucleotide long non-coding RNA is filed under the name Sinocyclocheilus grahami. Its description in RNAcentral is "lncRNA (ENSSGRG00000055204.1)". Lineage: Eukaryota; Metazoa; Chordata; Actinopteri; Cypriniformes; Cyprinidae. The record is from RNAcentral.